RNAcentral lists this long non-coding RNA (858 nucleotides) under Numida meleagris (helmeted guineafowl). RNAcentral describes it as "lncRNA (ENSNMEG00000013359.1)". The record is from RNAcentral. Lineage: Eukaryota; Metazoa; Chordata; Aves; Galliformes; Numididae.
CAUCAAAACUGUAAGAAUUAUUUCUAAUAUAUACUGGGCCACAACCUCAUCUUUUCCUUUCAUAUUAAUGGACCUACAAAACAGACUCAACCGGUUCGAACAGCCAGGCUUUGAUUCCCUUUACAUGCAGGUUCCCUCAGGUUACAGAGCUGGCAUAUCUUGUUCUGCAUCACAUCUGCUCUGCAGUGCCUGACUAUCAGAGAGCCCUUGUUCUGGCUGCCAGAUUAGUCCCUUUGGGUUAGCUGCUGCAGGAAACAAAGUAGAAUUUUAAGUUAUGAAAAGGCAUGCUUUGGCUCCACUAGUUGAGAAGUUGUAAGGAUGGUUGACAGCUGACAUAUUCUACCUCCCUCGUGUUGAUCUCUCUUGCAGUACUCUCUGGAAAAAAAAACAAAAAGGCAACAUCAAAUAGGAGGAAAAAAAUAAAAACAAGGAGCCCAGUAUGAAACUUAUUUAUGUACUCAAGAUGGAAACGAACCCCAGAAGACUACAAACUCCUUCCUUGUCAUGGGAAUCCAUGGAACCACCACCAACCUGGAACUCUGGAACCAGAGACAAAACAUUCAGGUCAGCAUGUGAUAGCUCUCUAAUCUGCUAAACCCUACACACCGAGUACUUUCAGAGCUUGUACUUGAACUUUGAAGUCAGCCCACUCUGAUGGUCCAUUUCUGCCCAUGUAUUCUAUCACUCUUAAUGGUCUCACGUAUGCCUGCUAUGCUUAACACUUACAGGAUUUGUUUUGUGGAGAACUUUCAUGCAGAAUCUUUUAUUCUACCUCUGUCUUGAUAUUGCAGGAAAAUUAAACAGGCAGGAGAGCUCUUCUGUGGUGCUCAACUGUUAGUUAAGCUAUAUUUGAAACAU